This 497-nucleotide ribosomal RNA is filed under the name uncultured bacterium. Its description in RNAcentral is "partial 16S ribosomal RNA". It matches the Rfam family "Bacterial small subunit ribosomal RNA", at positions 28 to 507 of the family's 1533-position model. The record is from RNAcentral.
GAUGAACGCUGGCGGCGUGCCUAAUACAUGCAAGUCGAGCGAACGGACGAGAAGCUUGCUUUUCUGGUGUUAGCUGCGGACGGGUGAGUAACACGUGGAUAACCUACCUAUAAGACUGGGAUAACUUCGGGAAACCGGAGCUAAUACCGGAUAAUAUUUUGAACCGCAUGGUUCAAAAGUGAAAGACGUUCUUGCUGUCACUUAUAGAUGGAUCCGCGCUGCAUUAGCUAGUUGGUAAGGUAACGGCUUACCAAGGCAACGAUGCAUAGCCGACCUGAGAGGGUGAUCGGCCACACUGGAACUGAGACACGGUCCAGACUCCUACGGGAGGCAGCAGUAGGGAAUCUUCCGCAAUGGGCGAAAGCCUGACGGAGCAACGCCGCGUGAGUGAUGAAGGUCUUCGGAUCGUAAAACUCUGUUAUUAGGGAAGAACAUAUGUGUAAGUAACUGUGCACAUCUUGACGGUACCUAAUCAGAAAGCCACGGCUAACUACGUG